This 769-nucleotide ribosomal RNA is filed under the name uncultured Streptococcus sp. RNAcentral describes it as "bacterial SSU rRNA". It matches the Rfam family "Bacterial small subunit ribosomal RNA", at positions 76 to 832 of the family's 1533-position model. Lineage: Bacteria; Bacillati; Bacillota; Bacilli; Lactobacillales; Streptococcaceae. The record is from RNAcentral.
GAGCUUGCUUCUCUGGAUGAGUUGCGAACGGGUGAGUAACGCGUAGGUAACCUGCCUGGUAGCGGGGGAUAACUAUUGGAAACGAUAGCUAAUACCGCAUAACAGUAGAUGUCGCAUGACAUUUGCUUAAAAGGUGCAAUUGCAUCACUACCAGAUGGACCUGCGUUGUAUUAGCUAGUUGGUGGGGUAACGGCUCACCAAGGCGACGAUACAUAGCCGACCUGAGAGGGUGAUCGGCCACACUGGGACUGAGACACGGCCCAGACUCCUGCGGGAGGCAGCAGUAGGGAAUCUUCGGCAAUGGACGGAAGUCUGACCGAGCAACGCCGCGUGAGUGAAGAAGGUUUUCGGAUCGUAAAGCUCUGUUGUAAGAGAAGAACGAGUGUGAGAGUGGAAAGUUCACACUGUGACGGUAUCUUACCAGAAAGGGACGGCUAACUACGUGCCAGCAGCCGCGGUAAUACGUAGGUCCCGAGCGUUGUCCGGAUUUAUUGGGCGUAAAGCGAGCGCAGGCGGUUAGAUAAGUCUGAAGUUAAAGGCUGUGGCUUAACCAUAGUACGCUUUGGAAACUGUUUAACUUGAGUGCAGAAGGGGAGAGUGGAAUUCCAUGUGUAGCGGUGAAAUGCGUAGAUAUAUGGAGGAACACCGGUGGCGAAAGCGGCUCUCUGGUCUGUAACUGACGCUGAGGCUCGAAAGCGUGGGGAGCGAACAGGAUUAGAUACCCUGGUAGUCCACGCCGUAAACGAUGAGUGCUAGGUGUUAGGCCCUU